This 70-nucleotide transfer RNA is filed under the name Sphingobacterium sp. ML3W. It matches the Rfam family "tRNA". Rfam says of the family: Transfer RNA (tRNA) molecules are approximately 80 nucleotides in length. The record is from Rfam by way of RNAcentral. Lineage: Bacteria; Pseudomonadati; Bacteroidota; Sphingobacteriia; Sphingobacteriales; Sphingobacteriaceae.
AUAGGGAUAGUAUAAUGGUAUUACAUGUUGUUAAGACCACAAGAUCGCGGUUCGAUUCCGUGCCCUUUUU